RNAcentral lists this ribosomal RNA (466 nucleotides) under uncultured bacterium. Its description in RNAcentral is "SSU rRNA". It matches the Rfam family "Bacterial small subunit ribosomal RNA", at positions 26 to 518 of the family's 1533-position model. The record is from RNAcentral.
AGGACUAACGCUGGCGGCGUGCCUAACACAUGCAAGUCGAACGAGAGUAGCAAUACUCUAGUGGCAGACGGGUGAGUAACACGUGGUCAACCUACCUCUAUGUGGGGGAUAACUAGCCGAAAGGUUAGCUAAUACCGCAUACGAUCGUCGAGCGGCAUCGCUUGACGAUGAAAGGAGCAAUCCGCAGAGAGACGGGACCGCGUCCCAUUAGCUAGUUGGUGGGGUAAUGGCCUACCAAGGCGACGAUGGGUAGCUGGCUUGAGAGAGCGACCAGCCACACUGGGACUGAGACACGGCCCAGACUCCUACGGGAGGCAGCAGUGAGGAAUUUUCCGCAAUGGGCGAAAGCCUGACGGAGCGACGCCGCGUGUGGGAAGAAGGCCUUCGGGUCGUAAACCACUGUCGAAGGGGAGAUAUUGACGGUACCCUUGGAGGAAGCCCCGGCUAACUACGUGCCAGCAGCCGC